UAAAGCCUUUCUGGCGAGGAUUUUGGAUUUCUGCUUCGUUCCAGGCCAAUCUUUGUGCACCCAAAUGAAUUCAUUUGCAGGGGAGGCAGCAGCUCUCUCCCCUCAGCAACAGCACGUGGCUCUGCAGAUGGGCUGUGUGUGUCAAUAUGGACCUAAGUGUGAAGUUUGAAAUGAUUUCCCCUCCGUCUUUCGUGACACAAAGGUCUCCUGGGGAAGAACUGGUUACCGCGUCGAAAAAAAAAACCUGUAAAUUUUGUGAAGCAGAGCCUGUUCUCUGAAGAGAGGUGAAGCUUUUGUUUCUGGCUGCGCAGGAUUGCAAAGCCACGUUUCUGAGCAGAAGCUGGGCCAUCUGCGCUUCCAAGCACUUCAGCUUGUAUCCCUGGAGCCAGGCUAUGUGCUGAUAGGAAAAAAAAAAUUUAAAUCCAUGGCAGGUUAAAAUUGACAGACCACAGCCUGGGUUGGUGUAGUGGAGGUAGCACACAAGCACUUUUUGGGAUUACAAUUCAGGGCUGAGAGGUUCUUCUUGCUUCCUAAUGAUCCUAUGGGAUGUCUGCAGGGGGGGAUUGCUGUUUUGGUGGCAGGGAUGGAGGGACAAAAGCUGGGUGCCUGUUUCUCAGGGGAUGGCAUAAUUGUACACCAGCCUGUGUUUCUAUUGUUGCAGGCAAUAAUGUUUUUAGAGAGGCUUGUGCACCGAUUAACUAUUCCUAACAUUGUUUAAUCACUGCAUCUGCUGAAAUGUGACUGUCAACUCUCAAACUCUCAAAGGUCACGGCUGUUUUGGGGAGGCAAAACCUGGCAGGGUUUCUACAUCACUAUGUUACACUAGAGCUUGGCCACCAGACCUGGUGGGAUGAUCUUGGAGUGAACUGUUUUGGACUGGAUUCUGUGGCAGUGAACGACCAGCAGGGAAGAAGCGUGCAUGACUCUGGAUGUGUUAGGAUUUGGCAUAGAAGCAGCUGAGUGCAAUGGAAAAGAUCAGCCUCUUGCUUUACAGCUUUAGGAACCUCUACAUUGAAAAAAAAAAGCAAAAGUGAAAAAACAAACAAACAAAACCCAAAGCAAAGUCAAAACAAAAAGCCACAAAGUUGAAUAAAGGGAGGAACUUCAGGAAUUCUCACAGAAAGACUGAAUUUCUAGAAAGUGAUGAAUUUUAUCCCUUUCUUGUGGUGGCAUAAUGACACCCAACAAACAGAUCUGAGCAGCAAAAGCAAACGUGGCUUAAACCACACAAAAUAAAAGGUUCUUAGAGAAUAAAUCUAGCUCCGGCACGAUGAUUGUACUCGCUCAUCCCCUGCCAUCCCAGCAGCUCCUAUGCCACCACAAGCAUCUCUGGCCCUCAGCACUCGUGUAAACAGUUCAGUGUCCAGGAAGAUUUGAAGACUGGGAGUGAGGUUGGCUCUUAUGCUGCAGGAGAAAGAAAAAGGAGGCAAGGGGAACAUCGUCCCCUUCAUUUUCCUACAUACAUGGUUGGGACAGACAACUUGAACUUGUGUCAGUGCUACUGCAUCCCUUCCUCCAAAGCCAUGUGUUGGGCUGGUGUCAUCUCCUGCCUGCAUCAGCUGGCCCAGGUGAGCCACCAAGGUGAGGCACCAAGGUGAGCAGUCUCCUCUUGCCCCACUGGAGAGCAAGUGGUGUGGAAUGGAUUUAGGGCAGACAUAGCCACUUCUUUCCAUUUUGUUUCCUUGAACUAUUGGGACAGGCUGCUACCUCCUGCCUCAUAUUGCAGUGUAAAGUUGAGCCCACCAGCUAGGCAGAAAAACGUGGGUGUGGAAGGACAUGGCACAUCCAGCCUGGAGCUGCUUGAUGGUCACCCAUCGUGGCCAGUCCCCUUUUCAUGGUGAGAGGAGGAAACGCUGUUUUUCAGGGUGUUGAUGGGAAUGCCUUUGAGAAGCACUCUUUCCACCGCAGUCCUGGUUGUCCAUGUCAAUUUUUGCAGCACUGAUAAUCACAAACAAAACUUGCUGGAAGCUAGAAGUCUGCAUUUAAUUUGUCUAUGAGCUUGUGCAGGAUUUUAACUGGACACAAACACAUUCAGAUAUUAUCUCUACUUGUUCUGAUGGGUGGGGAAGAGGAGACAACGGGGGAGGGCCUUGCAGCUCCCACUGUUACUGUGCUUAUCCAGUUUUCUGCUGUAAUAUCCUGUUUUUAGAUGCUUAUAGUUUAGCCAAGCAUUAACCAUUUAGGACGAGACUGACCAUCCUGGGAUGGGGCAGACCAUGCAAAGUAUAAGUCAAAAUCAAGCAAUGUAUUUUUCCCCAGCUCAAAGCCAAGUGGGAGGAGUAUUUUAUUCCAUAUUAAAAGAUCACUGCAAUCGCUUUGCUUUGAAAGUUGGCAUGGUGGUAGCAUUUAGGUCACAGUGCUGUUUGCUGAACAUAUGGCAAACCGAGCACAUUUAGCCAACAUUAAAAAAAAAAAAAAAAGCAGUAACAAUAAGCUCUUAAAGCAGAAGCAGAACACACUUAUGUCCAGCAGAGACUUUGGUUCUGCAUUUCUUCAGGAUUUUCUCUUGCCAGAUGUGUCCUGAGUUGGAACUGGUGAGGGUUUCCCCCCCUGUGCUGCUCUGCAUCCCCAUGGAGCCCAUACUCAGGGGCCCCUCUGCUGUGGGCCAUUGGUGUGGUGUAGGAGGCACCUCGCAGUGACACAUGGAGGUGCAGGUGGAGGGGUAAUGGAAAAAAAAAAAAAAAGAUAGAAAAGAUAGCCCAAGAUGACAAAGGUGAUGUGGAGAGGAGGAGAAAUUUACAGGGUAAAAGCUGAAGGCUGGUUAUGAAAAUCAGGAGCUCUGAGGAGGGGUAAGAUGUUGCAUGUUAAAAGAGGAGCAUGGCACAGGAGCAGGAACUAUCAGGGGACAGUGAAGUAACAUCAAGAAAAUAGAAUGGGAAAGGAAAAAUAGAAGUUUUUUUCUUUUUCUCUAAUGUUUAUGCCAAGUGUUUAUUUUCUUUACCCAGCACAGUGCAGUUCCUGUCCAAGGGUGCAUGGGAGUGGUUAAAAAUCAGUGUGAAGUUUUCGUCACCUCUUUCUUGCAUUAGGCUGGGCAAAGAAGAACUCGGUUCACCACGCAACCUGCUCUCUGCCAUCUAUGCAGCACUGGUGACUUCUUUGAGGAAAGGCAAAAAACAGGAAGGUGUUUGUGAAGCUCCCAACUUUCUACUGCUCCCAAGAGCCAUACCCACACCAUUGCACAGCUCCAGAGAGUCUCCAGUGUUGUGCAGGGCAGCGCUCCAGGCCCCUGCUCUCCACCCUUGCCUAUGUCUCCUGGGCGUCAGCCAAAGCUGAACAAGGGCUUUUAAAGCAAUCGAGUCUCUGUUUGUUUCACCAGAGCUUAGAUCAGAGCACCAGGUGCGAUGACUGCGAAGUGUUGUGGAGAUGCUGGGGACUAGGCUGCAUUCUUAAUGGAAAUUUUUUGCUUACCGAAGAGUUCAUCUGAAAGAUGCUUGUAUAUAGCAAUGACUCUGCACCACUGGCAUCGGCAGGUAUUUACUGAACUUCAAAAAAUUGUCUUCAGCAGGCUUGAAUCAGCAUGCGGUACCUCUGCUCACUGAAACCAGUUUGUGGUGCUCUUUACACAAAUGGUUGGAGAUGACAACUCUCAAAGAAUCAGUAUUUAGAAGAUUUCUGUGAUCUAUUCAGGUUCACAAGUGCAAACACAAAAGGUCUGGGGGAAAUACUGUGUUUAAACCAGCAAAAAUGCAAAAGAUGAAGACACGUCUAUGACUGCACAGGUUUGCUCUGAAGAAAUUUGAAUGAAUCGAGCCUUCCC
This is a long non-coding RNA of Cygnus olor (mute swan), 3757 nucleotides long. RefSeq lists it as uncharacterized. The record is from RefSeq and is a predicted model, not a curated record. The transcript has 5 exons. NCBI's taxonomy places the organism in Eukaryota, Metazoa, Chordata, Aves, Anseriformes, Anatidae.